GCCUGAGUGGCUCAGUCAGUUAAGCAUCUGACUUCAGUUCAGGUCGUGGUCUUAUGAUUCGUGGGUACAAACCCACGUCGGGCU
RNAcentral lists this transfer RNA (84 nucleotides) under Felis catus (domestic cat). It matches the Rfam family "tRNA". Rfam says of the family: Transfer RNA (tRNA) molecules are approximately 80 nucleotides in length. RNAcentral also lists the same sequence under 2 other names. Lineage: Eukaryota; Metazoa; Chordata; Mammalia; Carnivora; Felidae. The record is from Rfam by way of RNAcentral.